This 379-nucleotide ribosomal RNA is filed under the name uncultured cyanobacterium. Its description in RNAcentral is "bacterial SSU rRNA". It matches the Rfam family "Bacterial small subunit ribosomal RNA", at positions 376 to 770 of the family's 1533-position model. Lineage: Bacteria; Bacillati; Cyanobacteriota. The record is from RNAcentral.
CGAAAGCCUGACGGAGCAACGCCGCGUGAGGGAGGAAGGCUUUUGGGUUGUAAACCUCUUUUGUCAGGGAAGAAGUUCUGACGGUACCUGACGAAUCAGCAUCGGCUAACUCCGUGCCAGCAGCCGCGGUAAUACGGAGGAUGCAAGCGUUAUCCGGAUUUAUUGGGCGUAAAGCGUCCGCAGGUGGUUGAGUAAGUCUGUUGUUAAAGCGUGGGGCUUAACCCCAUAAGGGCGAUGGAAACUGCAAGGCUAGAGUGUGGUAGGGGCAGAGGGAAUUCCCGGUGUAGCGGUGAAAUGCGUAGAUAUCGGGAAGAACACCAGUGGCGAAGGCGCUCUGCUGGGCCAUAACUGACGCUCAUGGACGAAAGCCAGGGGAGCG